GGCGACUGGCUCGCGGACAUCCCUUUCAAAUCCGGUCCGGACCCGGGGGAAGGGGCCCGACUAGCCGUGACCGCUCGAUCCUCUGCCGCGACUAUUUAACUCCCAUGAUUUCGACGUUCAAUCCCGAACUCGUCUUAACGCUGAGCCAAGAAGCAAGAGAUUAAAUUUACGUAAUUUAAAAUUAGAGAAUACAGGAAGAAAAGAAUUUGAGCUAACUUUUUGCGUGGCUGAGAAUUACCGCCCAGAAUCUUCCUGGCAAGGACUAGAUCUGAAGUCUCACCAUCCAAUUAGGCACCCGUCGUCCUGACCAGGGGUCAGAGGAGGCGGAGGAAAGAAGGGGCUUGCAUUGUGUCAGUGCUGGGAGCUAACCCAUCAUAACUCCUCUUCGGUGCUGAGAAGACCACGCCUGCUUUCCCCCACAUCACCUGGAAAAAGUAUGAUGGAGGAAGAGGAAAUGAAAAGGUGGAUUCUUUACCAGCUGAACUACCGGGGAAGCCCAAAAGACCCAACUAACACACGCCUGGACUUCUGACCCCUGGGCUUUGAGAGAGAAUACAUUUGUGUUGUUUUAAGUCAAUAAGUUUGUGAUGACUCAUUACACUGUAAUAGAAAACUCAACAUCAGUGUCAACAACUGGCACAAAAAUCUACAGAGUAAAAUCAGGAAAAAGUGGGGGAUGAGCAAGUGUAUUCAAAGGAAGGAAAAAGGUUCCUCAACUGGAAAUCAGGAUUGCAGUUAGCUUUGUGGAGAGUGCCUGGGAGGAGGGGAGAACCUUCAGGAGUGCUGGCAGUGGUCUACACCUUGCUGUGGGAACUCGAUCUGGAAACUGGUG
Long non-coding RNA from Cervus elaphus (red deer), 832 nucleotides. RefSeq lists it as uncharacterized. The record is from RefSeq and is a predicted model, not a curated record. Lineage: Eukaryota; Metazoa; Chordata; Mammalia; Artiodactyla; Cervidae. The transcript is spliced from 4 exons.